This 2930-nucleotide ribosomal RNA is filed under the name Escherichia coli. Its description in RNAcentral is "bacterial LSU rRNA". It matches the Rfam family "Bacterial large subunit ribosomal RNA". Lineage: Bacteria; Pseudomonadati; Pseudomonadota; Gammaproteobacteria; Enterobacterales; Enterobacteriaceae. The record is from RNAcentral.
GGGUUGUGAGGUUAAGCGACUAAGCGUACACGGUGGAUGCCCUGGCAGUCAGAGGCGAUGAAGGACGUGCUAAUCUGCGAUAAGCGUCGGUAAGGUGAUAUGAACCGUUAUAACCGGCGAUUUCCGAAUGGGGAAACCCAGUGUGUUUCGACACACUAUCAUUAACUGAAUCCAUAGGUUAAUGAGGCGAACCGGGGGAACUGAAACAUCUAAGUACCCCGAGGAAAAGAAAUCAACCGAGAUUCCCCCAGUAGCGGCGAGCGAACGGGGAGCAGCCCAGAGCCUGAAUCAGUGUGUGUGUUAGUGGAAGCGUCUGGAAAGGCGCGCGAUACAGGGUGACAGCCCCGUACACAAAAAUGCACAUGCUGUGAGCUCGAUGAGUAGGGCGGGACACGUGGUAUCCUGUCUGAAUAUGGGGGGACCAUCCUCCAAGGCUAAAUACUCCUGACUGACCGAUAGUGAACCAGUACCGUGAGGGAAAGGCGAAAAGAACCCCGGCGAGGGGAGUGAAAAAGAACCUGAAACCGUGUACGUACAAGCAGUGGGAGCACGCUUAGGCGUGUGACUGCGUACCUUUUGUAUAAUGGGUCAGCGACUUAUAUUCUGUAGCAAGGUUAACCGAAUAGGGGAGCCGAAGGGAAACCGAGUCUUAACUGGGCGUUAAGUUGCAGGGUAUAGACCCGAAACCCGGUGAUCUAGCCAUGGGCAGGUUGAAGGUUGGGUAACACUAACUGGAGGACCGAACCGACUAAUGUUGAAAAAUUAGCGGAUGACUUGUGGCUGGGGGUGAAAGGCCAAUCAAACCGGGAGAUAGCUGGUUCUCCCCGAAAGCUAUUUAGGUAGCGCCUCGUGAAUUCAUCUCCGGGGGUAGAGCACUGUUUCGGCAAGGGGGUCAUCCCGACUUACCAACCCGAUGCAAACUGCGAAUACCGGAGAAUGUUAUCACGGGAGACACACGGCGGGUGCUAACGUCCGUCGUGAAGAGGGAAACAACCCAGACCGCCAGCUAAGGUCCCAAAGUCAUGGUUAAGUGGGAAACGAUGUGGGAAGGCCCAGACAGCCAGGAUGUUGGCUUAGAAGCAGCCAUCAUUUAAAGAAAGCGUAAUAGCUCACUGGUCGAGUCGGCCUGCGCGGAAGAUGUAACGGGGCUAAACCAUGCACCGAAGCUGCGGCAGCGACGCUUAUGCGUUGUUGGGUAGGGGAGCGUUCUGUAAGCCUGCGAAGGUGUGCUGUGAGGCAUGCUGGAGGUAUCAGAAGUGCGAAUGCUGACAUAAGUAACGAUAAAGCGGGUGAAAAGCCCGCUCGCCGGAAGACCAAGGGUUCCUGUCCAACGUUAAUCGGGGCAGGGUGAGUCGACCCCUAAGGCGAGGCCGAAAGGCGUAGUCGAUGGGAAACAGGUUAAUAUUCCUGUACUUGGUGUUACUGCGAAGGGGGGACGGAGAAGGCUAUGUUGGCCGGGCGACGGUUGUCCCGGUUUAAGCGUGUAGGCUGGUUUUCCAGGCAAAUCCGGAAAAUCAAGGCUGAGGCGUGAUGACGAGGCACUACGGUGCUGAAGCAACAAAUGCCCUGCUUCCAGGAAAAGCCUCUAAGCAUCAGGUAACAUCAAAUCGUACCCCAAACCGACACAGGUGGUCAGGUAGAGAAUACCAAGGCGCUUGAGAGAACUCGGGUGAAGGAACUAGGCAAAAUGGUGCCGUAACUUCGGGAGAAGGCACGCUGAUAUGUAGGUGAAGUCCCUCGCGGAUGGAGCUGAAAUCAGUCGAAGAUACCAGCUGGCUGCAACUGUUUAUUAAAAACACAGCACUGUGCAAACACGAAAGUGGACGUAUACGGUGUGACGCCUGCCCGGUGCCGGAAGGUUAAUUGAUGGGGUCAGCGCAAGCGAAGCUCUUGAUCGAAGCCCCGGUAAACGGCGGCCGUAACUAUAACGGUCCUAAGGUAGCGAAAUUCCUUGUCGGGUAAGUUCCGACCUGCACGAAUGGCGUAAUGAUGGCCAGGCUGUCUCCACCCGAGACUCAGUGAAAUUGAACUCGCUGUGAAGAUGCAGUGUACCCGCGGCAAGACGGAAAGACCCCGUGAACCUUUACUAUAGCUUGACACUGAACAUUGAGCCUUGAUGUGUAGGAUAGGUGGGAGGCUUUGAAGUGUGGACGCCAGUCUGCAUGGAGCCGACCUUGAAAUACCACCCUUUAAUGUUUGAUGUUCUAACGUUGACCCGUGAUCCGGGUUGCGGACAGUGUCUGGUGGGUAGUUUGACUGGGGCGGUCUCCUCCUAAAGAGUAACGGAGGAGCACGAAGGUUGGCUAAUCCUGGUCGGACAUCAGGAGGUUAGUGCAAUGGCAUAAGCCAGCUUGACUGCGAGCGUGACGGCGCGAGCAGGUGCGAAAGCAGGUCAUAGUGAUCCGGUGGUUCUGAAUGGAAGGGCCAUCGCUCAACGGAUAAAAGGUACUCCGGGGAUAACAGGCUGAUACCGCCCAAGAGUUCAUAUCGACGGCGGUGUUUGGCACCUCGAUGUCGGCUCAUCACAUCCUGGGGCUGAAGUAGGUCCCAAGGGUAUGGCUGUUCGCCAUUUAAAGUGGUACGCGAGCUGGGUUUAGAACGUCGUGAGACAGUUCGGUCCCUAUCUGCCGUGGGCGCUGGAGAACUGAGGGGGGCUGCUCCUAGUACGAGAGGACCGGAGUGGACGCAUCACUGGUGUUCGGGUUGUCAUGCCAAUGGCACUGCCCGGUAGCUAAAUGCGGAAGAGAUAAGUGCUGAAAGCAUCUAAGCACGAAACUUGCCCCGAGAUGAGUUCUCCCUGACCCUUUAAGGGUCCUGAAGGAACGUUGAAGACGACGACGUUGAUAGGCCGGGUGUGUAAGCGCAGCGAUGCGUUGAGCUAACCGGUACUAAUGAACCGUGAGGCUUAACCUUACAACGCCGAAGCUGUU